RNAcentral lists this ribosomal RNA (324 nucleotides) under Triticum aestivum (bread wheat). Its description in RNAcentral is "partial small subunit ribosomal RNA". Lineage: Eukaryota; Viridiplantae; Streptophyta; Magnoliopsida; Poales; Poaceae. The record is from RNAcentral.
AUGGCAGAGAUUGUGAUUCUUCUAGCCAUUAGAAAGAUUGGAAUUGCUUUGGCAAAGGCAGCUGUAGACCAGGCCAGUGUACAGUUUGGAAAGUAUGGCACACAACUACUAGAACUACAGGGCAGUAUGGGCCGUGUUGGUAGGGAGCUUCGCAUAAUGCACGAGGUUCUAUGUCAGAUGGACAUUCGUAGUCGCAACAAUCAGGUAUAUAAGGUCUGGUUGGAGGAGGUACGCUUAGUAGCACAUGUGAUGGAGGACAUGGUGGAUGAGUACUUGUAUCUUGUUGGGCAGGAACAAGAUAUAGGUUGUUGUUUUGUUUUCUGA